UCGUAACAAGGUUUCCGUAGGUGAACCUGCGGAAGGAUCAUUAUCGUAUAACCGAGGCACAAGGGCUGUCGCUGACCGUCAAGGUCGUGCACGCCCAAGUGCUCUCACACAAUCCAUCUCACCCCUUUGUGCAUCAUCGCGUGGGUCCCCUCGUUUAGAGGGGGCUUGCGUUUUUAUACACACACCCUUUUGGUAGAAGAAUGUCCUUUUUGCUUUGCGAUGACUCGCAAUAAAUACAACUUUCAACAACGGAUCUCUUGGCUCUCGCAUCGAUGAAGAACGCAGCGAAAUGCGAUACGUAAUGUGAAUUGCAGAAUUCAGUGAAUCAUCGAAUCUUUGAACGCACCUUGCGCCCCUUGGCAUUCCGAGGGGCACACCCGUUUGAGUGUCGUGACAAUCUCAAAAAAGCCUUUUCUUGAUCUCUUGAUUGGGGAAGGCCUUUUUGGACUUUGGAGGUUUCUGCUGGCCUACCCUUGUAAGCUGGCUCCUCUUAAAUGAAUUAGUGGGGUUCUCUUUGCAGAUCCUUGACGUGAUAAGAUGUUUCUGCGUCUUGGGUUCUGCUCUGUCCUUUGGAAACCUGCUUCUAACCGUCUUACCACAAAGACAGUGUUCGAGUUUUUCUCGACCCAUGAACCUUGACCUCAAAUCGGGUGAGACUACCCGCUGAACUUAAGCAUAUCAAUAAGCGGAGGAAAAGAAACUAACAAGGAUUCCCCUAGUAACUGCGAGUGAAGCGGGAAAAGCUCAAAUUUAAAAUCUGGUGGCCUUUGGCCAUCCGAGU
Molecule: ribosomal RNA, 781 nt
Filed under: Russula sp.
Lineage: Eukaryota; Fungi; Basidiomycota; Agaricomycetes; Russulales; Russulaceae
Description: eukaryotic LSU rRNA
Rfam family: 5.8S ribosomal RNA (bases 238-391)
Source: RNAcentral